Long non-coding RNA from Dermochelys coriacea (leatherback sea turtle), 3641 nucleotides. RefSeq lists it as uncharacterized. NCBI's taxonomy places the organism in Eukaryota, Metazoa, Chordata, Testudines, Dermochelyidae. The transcript is spliced from 3 exons. The record is from RefSeq and is a predicted model, not a curated record.
AGAGUCUCUCUCUGUGUUCCAGGAAGGGCCUGGCUGCAGGGACCCCAGGGAGUACCUAGAUUGGAGCAGGGCUGAGGGGGAAAGGCCAGGGGAGCUCUGGCCUGGAAAACCCCCAGGUUGCAAGGCCUAGAUUAGGGCCUAUUAGGUACUGGGGCUGCAAGGGGGAAGCACAUGGGUAGACAGAGGCAGCAGGUCCAAACCUCCUUGCCUGUGAUGAGUGGCUGAUCCACUGCAGUCUAAGUGAUGGCAGUAGCCAAGACUGAGGUAAGGUGUGGGUUGGGGUUCCCCAGGGAGGGGAGACCCUCAGGGAUUAUUGGAGUACUGCCAGGGGGUGGCACCCCAGUGGGAGAAAGCACCGGGUCCUGGAAGGGACUGGGGCCGGCGGUAAGGCGGAUCACCAGAUGGCAGAGGGCGCUCCAGAGGCUGAUGAGCUAAUUCCCAAGGACAACCAGCAGGAGGUGCCACCAGGUCUAAUUUUUACUGUUUUAAUACUGUGGUUUCAGUGCCAAUGUCAAUAUGAAGACAGGAGCAUUUCCAGUUUGACAGGUUGACCAUUGUUUUUCAGAACUUUGUCGAGGAGCAAGCAAUUUACAGAUGACAGAGACAACAGUCACAGAUUCUAUAUUGGAAUAUUUCAACAACGAAAAACUGACAGACUGCAGAGCAAAGCACAGUGAUAUUCAGCUAAGAAUCGUAUCCAUGUCUUGACACUGGGUAUGACACAAGUCAGAUUCCACCAUAAAUUGGUGAAUUAAAAUAGGACUUCUUUAUUAAGGAAAGGACUCUACAUGCUUUCUGUGAUUUCAAAAAUGACAAGCUUUUUUGCCAUUCUUGACUUGUCUCAGACUCACCUUGGUUUCCUCACUCUUCCACUCUGAAAGGAGCCCUUUGCCAGCACUGUGUUUUCCAACUAAAAGUAACCCAAGGUGCUUUCAUUUGCAGAAGCUUCAAAUACAAUGACUGCAAUGAAGAAUGAGAUCCCGUAAAACCUGAGGGCAGUGAUGAUUCCCAUUGAGCAUGCAAUCAACUUCCUAAAUCUCCUGACCAAGAACAAAGCAUCCAGUUGUGUCUACCAUGAUUCAUUGUGAUGCACAAGACAUGCACUCCAUGGUCCGUGUUGCUCCCGAGACUGCACAGGAACUAUUCAGUUCCACAUGAAUGAAGGAAGGUGACAAAGUAUUAUGGAAGAAUUUGGAAACUGCUCCAGUUGCAGCAUGAAAUGAAGUAACUGACAUGUUUUACUGUUUUAAAGGCAGCAUUUUUAGUUUAAGCUGAUGUAACUACAGAUGCUGCUCUGACAGGAAAAAACACUGGGAGUAAGGGGAUUUGAUGUAUUCCAGCCCUGAGCAGCCAUAAUAAUUACAGUAGAGUUUCACUGCUUCUCCCUCUGGCUAUGUAUAGGCUUACACAGGCAUAUAGAGUAUAUACACUACAUGCACGCCCACCUAGCACAGGUAUAAAUAGUAGUGUAGUACUUAAGCAAGUACAGACCUGCCAAAAUCUUACAGUAUGUACCCUAUGCAGCUCUUUAAAAUUGAGUCAAGUGCAACACUGUUGCAAAAAAGCAAACAUGUAUUAGCAGGAGUGUUAUAAGCCUUAAGUGCAGGGAACUGGAUUAGAAUACCUCUCAAAGCCCCUUCCAGUCCCCAGAUUCUACACACCCAAGCAGUGCCUGCAUGUCUACAUGGCUAUUUUUAGCAGCCUGUGUUUCACUGUGGCAUGUAACUACACAUACUCUACAUGCUGCUGCAAAUGUGGACAAAGCCUGUAUGUGCUUUAUUUGGACACUCUGAUGGUAGCUUUGAACUACUAGUUCCCUGAAGAAAAACCAGGAUUCAGCUUGCUCCCAUGGAACUAAAGGGCUUUCAAGAAACUUUGAAAAAUAUUCAGACUAUAUAUUCAUUCAAACAUAUUUUCAAAGAAGCAUCCACUUAGUUAAAGAAUGGACCAAUUGGACUGGCAAAGGAAUAGACAUAGGCUAGACAGACAUUUUGGAGCACACCAAUCUUUACUCAGCCAUUAGUAGACCAUCUUGAUCUUCCAGUCACAAACAUGCAUGAAUCUAACAUUCCUUCAGCCCUCUGCACAGAGUCAAGAUGUGGCUUUGAUUGAUAUCAGAUGACAAGUGGUUGAAUGAACUGUAUUUUUGAGUAUUCUUCAGAAGAAGAUUGAGCCAAAGGACAAGUUAUAAGUCUAUCUAGAUUUAGAACAAGGCAACUUGUAUAGAAGUUAAAAACUGUGCUACCUUUACAAACCUCAUUAGGCUAAUGUUCUGUUGAACAAUGAAUAUCAAUUGUUUCUUGAUUAGAAUCUUUGUGCCAGGCAACAAAUGUAGGGGAGGCAGAAGUAUUAGCACAUAGCUUUUUAUUUUUUAACCUUUCCUGAACAAUAUGAAUUACUAACCAAUGUCAGAUUCUGCAAACCCUUAUGCACAGGCUUAACUUUACACACAAUAAGCAUAUACCUAGCUAUUUGCAGGAUCUUGCUCUCAAGUUUCUCAUUUACUGAUCUCACUAGAUAAUAGCAAACUAUCUCUGUGCAGUAUUUAUUCAUUAAGUAAUUUUAGUUUCACAAAUUCCUUCUUCCCCCUGUAUUUGUAUUUCCAGCUGAUGUCCUUCAUUUCUAUAAGACUCAAGAGUUAGAGUGAAAUCCUGGCCCCAUUAAAAUCAACAGGAAUUUUGCCAUUGACAUAAGGAGGACCAGGAUUACACUCUUAGAUAUGAAGUAAAAUAGCUAAAUACUUCUUAGAAUUUACUGGACUGAAUCCAGGAUAGCUAAAAUAGGGAUCAAAGCAAAUGACAAGUGCUGGAGUAGUGAUGCAUUCAAUAUGAUUUUAAUGCCUAUGGUAUGGUUUUGGAAUGUCCAUUUGUACAUAAAUUCCAGGACAAAGGAGUUCAAAGAGCUAAUGCGCUUUUGAACAGCAGGGUUCUCUUUGGAUCCUAACAUUUUCCUGCAAAGGUUUCUAAGUGAUGUGGCUACAUUAGUAAAGCAGUGGAACAAUUUGAGUGAAGAGUUCAUUUAACAGAUAAAAAAUUGAUCCUUCAAAAACAAAAGCAUCUAAAGGCUUAAUAUUAUCAACUGGUACAAGUGUGAAUUAGAAAAUUUUAAAGAGUAUCAUGCCACAUAAAUGAAUAGGAUAAAUUGAAGGAAACUGUCACAUUCCUGGCUAUUUAUUAAUCUGUAAUAUAUGUGUUACCAUUUCAUCUGUGUAUACAGAUUUCUGUUUUCAGUCCAAUAGAUACAAACAAAAUGAACAGGAUGCAGAGUGUAUAGGGAACUAAGGAAUAUUUCAUUUUUUAUCUAGAAAAUGUUACAAAACUGAGCAGACACUUUAUUAGACAAUACAUAAAAUACUUACACGGACUGAUACACAAAUUGGCCUGAUAGGAUUUAAAUGGAUUUUGCUUCAUAGUCCCAGCACUUUCUUCUUUUCUGAAAGCUGUAUAUAUGACUAACUGUACAGCUGCAGCCUGCGGUCACACUGGUAAAUGCCCUUGAGCGAGAGGAUUAAUUCUGCCUGUCUGUACAUUGCUAAAAUUAUUACUGCAGUGUGUGUGCGUGUGUGUGUGACAUGAUUUCAUUAGGUGGGUUCUCAAGUGUGGGAAAUGAACCUAUUUUAGCAGAGAGUGCAAGAGCAGAGG